AAUCUUCCGCUAUUUCGUCUGGUUCUAACUCAAUAAUGUGGUUUGGGUCUUUCACAUGUUUACGUAACAUGGAUAUAUGAAAAACGUUAUGAACACGAGACAUAAUUAGCGGCAAAACGAGUCUAUAGGCUACAGUCCCUACACGAUCGAUGAUUAAAAAUGGGACAAUGAAUCGAGGAUUGAGCUUUUCUCUCAUUCCAAAUCUCUUAACUCCUUUCCAUGGAGCAACACG
Molecule: long non-coding RNA, 232 nt
Filed under: Panax ginseng (ginseng)
Lineage: Eukaryota; Viridiplantae; Streptophyta; Magnoliopsida; Apiales; Araliaceae
Description: long non-coding RNA (PGIN_LNC013898)
Source: RNAcentral